GACGAACGCUGGCGGCGUGCUUAAUACAUGCAAGUCGAACGCUAAGGGUCUGUUCUUGUGCGGUCUUGGUGUGCCGCACGCGUGAGUAUAACGCGUGUAGCCUCUGCCUUUCUGUGGGAUACCUCCAGUAGACUCGGGCGCUAACAGCGUAUAAGCUCCUGCUGCACGGUUGUUGAUGGUAAGAGUCGGCGGUUCGUGAUGGACUCGUGGCUUAUCAGUUUGUUGGUGGGGUAGUGGCUUACCAAGUCAUUGACGGGUAGCCGGCCUGAGAAGGUGACCGGCCACAUUGGGACUGAGAUACGGCCCAGACUCCUACGGGAGGCAGCAGUGGGGAGUAUUGCACAAUGGGCGGAAGCCUGAUGCAGAGACGCCGCGUGCGGGAUGAUGGCCUUCGGGUUGUAAACCGCUGUCGGCUGUGACGGAGCGUGAGUGACGGUAAUGUGUAAAGAAGCACCGGCUAACUACGUG
This 468-nucleotide ribosomal RNA is filed under the name uncultured bacterium. RNAcentral describes it as "partial 16S ribosomal RNA". It matches the Rfam family "Bacterial small subunit ribosomal RNA", at positions 28 to 507 of the family's 1533-position model. The record is from RNAcentral.